GUCUAUGGCCAUACUACCCUGGAGACGCCUAAUCUCAUCUGAUCUCAGAAGCUAAGCAGAGUGAGGCCUGGUUAGUACUUGGAUGGGAGACCGCUUGGGAAUACCAGCUGCCGUAGGCU
Podarcis muralis (Common wall lizard) is the source of this 119-nucleotide ribosomal RNA. NCBI's taxonomy places the organism in Eukaryota, Metazoa, Chordata, Lepidosauria, Squamata, Lacertidae. The record is from Ensembl.